Molecule: transfer RNA, 73 nt
Filed under: Rhodoferax ferrireducens T118
Lineage: Bacteria; Pseudomonadati; Pseudomonadota; Betaproteobacteria; Burkholderiales; Comamonadaceae
Rfam family: tRNA
About the family: Transfer RNA (tRNA) molecules are approximately 80 nucleotides in length.
Source: Rfam by way of RNAcentral
GCGGGAAUAGCUCAGUUGGUAGAGCGCAACCUUGCCAAGGUUGAGGUCGAGAGUUCGAGUCUCUUUUCCCGCU